Molecule: long non-coding RNA, 4242 nt
Organism: Phyllostomus discolor (pale spear-nosed bat)
Lineage: Eukaryota; Metazoa; Chordata; Mammalia; Chiroptera; Phyllostomidae
Exons: 4
Source: RefSeq, a predicted model, not a curated record
UAUCAGUCCUUUGAUCCUGGUUCAUUCCUACCUGGCACAAUCUGUGUUCUGCUUUCUCUGCAUCUGUCUUCCUAUUUGACAGUGAACUUUGUGACUUCUAGAUCCAUAGAAUCCUGUUAACUUGCCAAUACUAAUUCUCUGUUUUUAACUUAGCUAUAUCUGGUUGUCAAUACAGUUUUAUUAUAAAGAACUAUAUUUAUGGCAGGAUACAGAAGAGAAACCCUGUACUUCCAAAACAUAGGGAACACUUGAAUGGCAUUUAUUUCUGCCAAUGAACUUGAGCUGGGGCCAAACAGUUAUACACAAGAAAGUUAUGCCGACCAUGAGCUUUUGUUGUCAGAGUUAUCCUCUCUCCUUUGCGUACUCAGACAUGUGCUAAGACUACCACUGCAUUGCUGAAGCAAUUUCAUUUCUCUGUGUAAUGCAUAGAUUGUUUCACACAGAUGCAAUUUUAUUUUUCUGGUCCAUUUCCUUCUCUAAGUAUAACAGGAAUGUGUGAGCCUCCCAGCCCUCCCCUGUGGGUGGAUGUUUUAACCUACACGAGUCAACUAGGAAGUUUGGUCUUCCUGCCUCUUUUGUAAAUAUCCUCUCUGGGCUCGCUGACAUUCUAGGUUUCUUGUCUGACACACUGGUUUCUGUGUCUCAGCACACUCAGGAACCCUGCUCUUCUUUCUCUUGGUGCCAAAGAGAAUGGGAUGAAGAAGACUCCUUUACUUCUUUACUUUUCCCCUUGCUCCCUUGGCCAUUUAGCCUCUUCAAUUGAAAAACAUCAGGUCAUGUGGCAUAUGUAAUAUUUAUCAAAAUACAACAAGAGCAAUAACUGGAAAAUUAAUACCAACAUUUAUUGAGCACUCACUAUUCACCUUUCACCAUGUUGGCUGCCCUCCUGGAUCUCAACAACUCUAUCAAUAUGUACCAUUAUUAUGCUUGUUUUCCAGGGGAGUAAACCAAGUUUGAGUUUGUUGAAGCCACUUGCCACAGGUAGAGCUAAGGGUUUAAUUUAGGCAGUUUCACCAAGGUUCAAGUUCUAAGUGGUCUGGGAUUUUCUUUUUUAUGUAUGAAGGAAUGACCAUAUGAGGCAGGCUUUCACAAUGUUUGUGUCCAUGUGCUGGACUUCUGUUGAUGCUCGAGAUCAUCUCUACAUUUCUCCAUUCUGCUUUGUACACCCAGAGAUUGGCCUUGGACUAGGUCAAUGGCUACCUUACACUUUGCCCUCAAGGGCAUUAACAGGAGAUUGGAGGGAGGAAGAGGAGAGGGGCCACCUCCCUCCUGCCUUGUCACUGACCGCUGGCUGAGUCCCCUAUUUCAGGUGCCAGGCUCCUGUCAAAUAGGUCUCUCCACUCAGCACUGUCGGUCUCUGGGUUCUGGUACCAUUUUCUCCUCUGCUUAGGAGUGGUAACACCUGCUGUGCUCUUGCCAGCACUUAUCUCUUGUGGUUUCCCUACACCCUGCCCACACCUUUGCAAAUAGAUCCUUUAUUAAACUCUCCUUGAAUAUCCCUGUUAGGAGCAUACCAUUUGUUUCUUACUGGGAUCCUAACUGAUCCAGUCCCUGUGGGCAUUCGCCCAUCCCUGACCUGGUUCCUCCUUCGGUCCACCCCCUCUGCCCUGUCACAUGGCCCCUGGGUAAACUCUGCUCUGAAGCUUCCACAGAAGGAGAAUAUUCAACUCUGGUCUUUCUUGAGUCCUGCAGUGUCAGCCAUAGGCCUUAUUAACUGAUUACACCUCUCACGGACAUACGUAAUUAUUUUCUCAGUGACAGCAUGGCCUACCUUCAUCUGAAGAAAGAUAUUUCUCUUAUCACCAGGGCCGUGGCUCAGACCUACAGAAAUAAUGGGUCUUAUUAUUGUGCCUAAAACCAUCAGAUUAAGAUUUUUUUCUGCUCUCUUUGUGGCCCUAGAAGCAUGAACAGAAGCCUGUAAUACUUUUUAGUGGCUCCCUGGAGAAUGUGACCAACUGCGAUAAAAUUAUUUUGAUUCAGAAUUUGGAGGUGGGGAUUCAGAGAUGCUCACCAGUUCUUUGUCAUUCACAAGUAAAUGGAGAUGAGCAAUUUGGCUUCUCUGGUAAUGUCUUUCUGCUUCACCUCCCCCACCAAAUUCUGAAUAUAAGAGUAAAUAUGCAGUCCUAGGAAAGAUCUUCAGAGAUGUACCUAAUUCGUAUUUGAAGGGUCAAAAAUCUUUUUACAGGCAGUUACAGGUGAUGGCCGGGGGUUUCCUUGGUGGAGGGAACAGUCUGUGCAAAGACACGGAGGCAGGAGAAAGCAUGGGAAAUGUGGGAAACCUAAUACAGUCCUGCACGAAUCCCAGGGCUUAUACAGUUCAGACAUCCUCAGAUAACAAGGGCGAGAGGUCAGAUGUGAUGUCAGUAAGGCCACAUGGGUUGGACACAGCUAACAUCUGUUUUGGUUGGUUAGUGUCACCCCUGCACAGAUAUAUAUGCACACACAUUUAAUGUAUGCUAUGUAGGUAUUUUUGUUCCUGGGCCCUUGCUUUACAAGGUUAUGUCUUUAAUAGUACUCCUGCUCUUUGAGUUCUGGAUUUCUAACUCGAUUACUGUAUUCUCACGAACCAUUUAAGAUGACCUCUUCCCCCCUGGCAGUCUAAAGUGAUUUUUCCAUCCAUGUCAUCUCUGAGGCUUCUUGAACCUUCCUUUUCAGCUGUCAGAAUGAGUUCCCCUUAAGGGUCUUUGAAGAACUCUCUUCAGACUUUUCUGCUUGGAGGAAAUUCCUUUUAAGUUUCAGAAGAUGGCUGGCUGUAUUAAAAGAAGUGCUGGAAUGUUUGAAGACUGUUCCAGAAUUUGUGGGUUCAUUUUAGUUUUAAUUUUAGCCCUUGAAUUACGUCUGUAAUAUACACCAGUUUGCAAGAAUAGCAGAUAUCCCAGCUGACUUCUGUGGCAGGCACUAGUGUUCUUCCUAUCUGCUGCUCUCGGAGCCAAACAGCUGUGCUUUGAAUCUGCUCAGCAGGCACCUGCUGUGUCUGUAGCCCCGUAGAACGUUUUCCUGCCUCGAUGCCACACCUGGAAGCCCAGAGUGUCACUGGACAAGCCAAACUAGGUUGAUGCAUACCACAGAAAAGUCUGUCAUCGCCCCUUCCUAGACACACCUGGAACUCACAGAUAUCUGUAUAGCUGUGUAUGAAGACAUCCCCUAACAUAGGACAGCAACUAGAUAGAAUGGGCCCUCAACAUGAGCAUUGUUUGACUGCAGUAUGAAUACAUAGAGAAAGAUCGAAUGGUUGCUGAUGCAUGAGGAUUUUCAAGGAGAAAGAAAUGAAGAAAGGAAAGGAAUAACACCUCGGAGGUGUCUGUGAACUAUGUGCAUAAAAAUAGUAAUCCACAUGUCCACUCUACAUCUUCAUUACUUUUGAUGAUUGAGAAUUGAAUAUACAUGACCAGAGAUUCUCCACCUGCAUAGACACAUGAGGCAGUCUGCAAGCAAGGAAGAGAGGUCUCAGCAGAAACGACACUGCUAGCACCUUGAUCUUGAACUUCUAGCCUCUGGCACUGUGAGCAAUAAAUGUCUAUUGUUUAAACCAUAAAGUCUGUGGUAUUCUGUUAUGGCAAACCUAACAGAUUAAUGCAGAUGCCUGUCCAGUUAAACUCUCCAUCCCCUGUAGCACUGUCCUCAUUGCCCCUUUUCUCUAAGUUGGUAGCAAGUGGGCCACAAAACCCUGCCCCCUGAGCACAGCCAUAUCCCUGCUGUUCACACUUGAUCCAAGCUUGUCCAACAGACUCACUCUUGUGGGAAUUUGAAGCAAGGACUCAGAAGCUCUAGUUAGUUUUGAUGAGAUGACUUAACAGAGAGAGAAUUUGACACUUAGGCUGUGGUGACCUUGUACAUCUGACCCAGAGAAAGUAGGUCUUUUGGGAGAAAGAAAACAAUAAAGCUGAUGUGAAAAGAGAAGAAGUAAAAAUUAAAGAGAGUGGAGUGACCUUGCUUAUGGACUUUAUAGUUUUGUCUUUCAGUUUCUUGAGAGAUCCUGCUCAAGCUUUGUACUUGAUUUUCAUAAAAUAGUUUUGAUUCCUUAUAAAAAUUCCUCUUUAUUCAUCUAUUUCUACGCAGCUUCUGUUUCUUACAACCUAAAGAUUUCUUAAUAAGCCAUAUGGGAACAUGUAUAAUUAAGGCCUAAAGCAUGAAUUAAGUAGAAAUCCCAUAAUAAACAGAAGGUCAAUUCAUUAAAUUUUCUAAUCAUUCUCCCUUGCUGUGAAAAUAAUAGGAAUUUUAUUUUUAACCCAUGACAAUUAU